AUGUGAGUCUUUGCAGUAAUGCAAGGUAGACGGCUCAGUAACACGUAGUCAAUCUAACCUAUGGACAGGGAUAAUCUCGGGAAACUGAGCAUAAUACCUGAUAGAUCAUCAUGCCUGGAACGGUUGAUGGUUGAAAUGAUUUUUCGCCAUAGGAUGGGACUGCGGCCUAUCAGCUUGUUGGUGAGGUAAUGGCCCACCAAGGCUAUUACAGGUACGGGCUCUGAGAGGAGAAGCCCGGAGAUGGGUACUGAGACACGGACCCAGGUCCUAUGGGGCGCAGCAGGCGAGAAAACUUUGCAAUGUGCGAAAGCACGACAAGGUUAAUCCGAGUGUUUCCUGCUAAAGGAAUCUUUUGUUAGUCGUAAAAUCACUAUCGAAUAAGGGGUGGGCAAGUUCUGGUGUCAGCCGCCGCGGUAAAACCAGCACCUCAAGUGGUCAGGAGGAUUAUUGGGCCUAAAGCAUCCGUAGCCUGUUCUGUAAGUUUUCGGUUAAAUCCAUUAGCUCAACUAAUGGGCCGCCGAAAAUACUGUAGAACUAGGGAGUGGGAGAGGUAGACGGUAUUCGGUAGGAAGGGGUAAAAUCCUUUGAUCUAUUGAGGGCCACCUGUGGCGAAGGCGGUCUACCAGAACACGUUCGACGGUGAGGGAUGAAAGCUGGGGGAGCAAACCGGAUUAGAUACCCGGGUAGUCCCAGCUGUAAACGAUGCAGACUCGGUGAUGCCCUGGCUUGUGGCCAGUGCAGUGCCGCAGGGAAGCCGUUAAGUUUGCCGCCUGGGAAG
Molecule: ribosomal RNA, 778 nt
Filed under: uncultured archaeon
Lineage: Archaea
Description: bacterial SSU rRNA
Rfam family: Archaeal small subunit ribosomal RNA
Source: RNAcentral